RNAcentral lists this long non-coding RNA (384 nucleotides) under Fukomys damarensis (Damara mole-rat). RNAcentral's name for it is "lncRNA (ENSFDAG00000025418.1)". Lineage: Eukaryota; Metazoa; Chordata; Mammalia; Rodentia; Bathyergidae. The record is from RNAcentral.
AACAACAUUUGUGAUGUGUUCAUGAUUCUAGUUAUGGAAUGGAGUAAAUAUGUCCCUGAAAAGGAACUGAAAAUGGAAAGAAAGAAGAGCAAGAGAAGGAUUGCCUUACAGCUGUUGGCUUGAAUGUCCCCAUGAAGAGUGUCUGUGACUGAUGGUGAUGGCCUGGAUUAGCAUGAGGAGCCUGUUACUGAAGACGGAGAGAGCCCACAUCACCCUCUCCAGAUAUUCACAUUUUUCUCAUCCUCUACCUUUCCAAAGUUCCAAAACUCUGAGUGAAAUUUGCGAUUUUUAUUUGAAAUACUGAAGCAGUCACCCUUGUUAUGGAAUGAAAUGAGGACUGUCAGAAGACUGGCCGGAGUGAACAAUGUGCUGUAAGAUUGUCUU